AAACUAGGAUUAGAUACCCUAUUAUUUUUAUUAAAUUUAAAUUUAAUUAAAUAUUAAAUGUUUAAAGCAUUAAAAAUAAAAAAUUUGGCGGUAUUUAAUAUUUAGAGGAACUUGUUUAUUAAAUUGAUAAUCCACGAAUGGAAGGACUUAAUUUAAAGUAAUUUUAUGUAUUGUUGUUGAAAAAUUAUAUUAAUAGAUAAUUAUUAAUAAAUUUAAUAAAAAUUAUAAUUCAAAUCAAAAUGUAGAAUAAUUAAGAGGUUUAAUGAGUUACAAUUAAUUAAAUAUUUGAAUUUUAACAUAUAAUUUAAUUUAUAAAUGAAAAUGGAUUUAAAAGUAAAUUUAUAAAAAUUUAUAAAUGAAAUAAU
This 365-nucleotide ribosomal RNA is filed under the name Camponotus sp. MG053. RNAcentral's name for it is "partial 12S ribosomal RNA". The record is from RNAcentral. Lineage: Eukaryota; Metazoa; Arthropoda; Insecta; Hymenoptera; Formicidae.